GACGAACGCUGGCGGCGUGCUUAACACAUGCAAGUCGAACGGAAAGGCCCUGCUUUUGUGGGGUACUCGAGUGGCGAACGGGUGAGUAACACGUGAGUAACCUGCCCUUGACUUUGGGAUAACUUCAGGAAACUGGGGCUAAUACCGGAUAGGAGCUCCUGCUGCAUGGUGGGGGUUGGAAAGUUUCGGCGGUUGGGGAUGGACUCGCGGCUUAUCAGCUUGUUGGUGGGGUAGUGGCUUACCAAGGCUUUGACGGGUAGCCGGCCUGAGAGGGUGACCGGCCACAUUGGGACUGAGAUACGGCCCAGACUCCUACGGGAGGCAGCAGUGGGGAAUAUUGCACAAUGGGCGGGAGCCUGAUGCAGCAACGCCGCGUGCGGGAUGACGGCCUUCGGGUUGUAAACCGCUUUCGCCUGUGACGAAGCGUGAGUGACGGUAAUGGGUAAAGAAGCACCGGCUAACUACGUG
This 468-nucleotide ribosomal RNA is filed under the name uncultured bacterium. RNAcentral describes it as "partial 16S ribosomal RNA". It matches the Rfam family "Bacterial small subunit ribosomal RNA", at positions 28 to 507 of the family's 1533-position model. The record is from RNAcentral.